GAUGAACGCUAGCGGCAGGCCUAACGCAUGCAAGUCGAGGGGUAACAUAGAAAAGCUUGCUUUUCUGAUGACGACCGGCGCACGGGUGCGUAACGCGUAUACAACCUACCUUUUAGCGGGGAAUAGCCCAGGGAAACUUGGAUUAAUGCCCCAUAGUAUAUAGACUUCUCCUGAAGUUUAUAUUAAACAUUUAUGGCUAUUAGAUGGGUAUGCGUCCUAUUAGUUAGUUGGUAAGGUAACGGCUUACCAAGGCAGCGAUAGGUAGGGGUCCUGAGAGGGAGAUCCCCACACUGGUACUGAGACACGGACCAGACUCCUACGGGAGGCAGCAGUGAGGAAUAUUGGACAAUGGGCGAGAGCCUGAUCCAGCCAUGCCGCGUGCAGGAAGACUGCCCUAUGGGUUGUAAACUGCUUUUACAGAGGAAGAACCACCCCCACGUGUGGGGGUUUGACGGUACUCUGCGAAUAAGGAUCGGCUAACUCCGUG
This 487-nucleotide ribosomal RNA is filed under the name uncultured bacterium. RNAcentral describes it as "bacterial SSU rRNA". It matches the Rfam family "Bacterial small subunit ribosomal RNA", at positions 28 to 507 of the family's 1533-position model. The record is from RNAcentral.